GUUAAUAUAGCUUAAUUUUUUCAAAGCAAGACACUGAAAAUGUCUAGACCGGUGCUCAUCACCCCAUAAACA
This 72-nucleotide transfer RNA is filed under the name Callithrix jacchus (white-tufted-ear marmoset). It matches the Rfam family "tRNA". Rfam says of the family: Transfer RNA (tRNA) molecules are approximately 80 nucleotides in length. Their secondary structure includes four short double-helical elements and three loops (D, anti-codon, and T loops). Further hydrogen bonds mediate the characteristic L-shaped molecular structure. tRNAs have two regions of fundamental functional importance: the anti-codon, which is responsible for specific mRNA codon recognition, and the 3' end, to which the tRNAs corresponding amino acid is attached (by aminoacyl-tRNA synthetases). tRNAs cope with the degeneracy of the genetic code in two manners: having more than one tRNA (with a specific anti-codon) for a particular amino acid; and 'wobble' base-pairing, i.e. permitting non-standard base-pairing at the 3rd anti-codon position. Lineage: Eukaryota; Metazoa; Chordata; Mammalia; Primates; Cebidae. The record is from Rfam by way of RNAcentral.